This 453-nucleotide ribosomal RNA is filed under the name uncultured Anaplasma sp. Its description in RNAcentral is "bacterial SSU rRNA". It matches the Rfam family "Bacterial small subunit ribosomal RNA", at positions 69 to 553 of the family's 1533-position model. The record is from RNAcentral. Lineage: Bacteria; Pseudomonadati; Pseudomonadota; Alphaproteobacteria; Rickettsiales; Anaplasmataceae.
UUCUUUAUAGCUUGCUAUGGAGGAUAAUUAGUGGCAGACGGGUGAGUAAUGCAUAGGAAUCUACCUAGUAGUAUGGGAUAGCCACUAGAAAUGGUGGGUAAUACUGUAUAAGUCUGCGGGGGAAAGAUUUAUCGCUAUUAGAUGAGCCUAUGUUAGAUUAGCUAGUUGGUAGGGUAAAGGCCUACCAAGGCGAUGAUCUAUAGCUGGUCUGAGAGGAUGAUCAGCUACACUGGAACUGAGAUACGGUCCAGACUUCUACGGGAGGCAGCAGUGGGGAAUAUUGGACAAUGGGCGCAAGCCUGAUCCAGCUAUGCCGCGUGAGUGAGGAAGGCCUUAGGGUUGUAAAACUCUUUCAGUAGGGAAGAUAAUGACGGUACCUACAGAAGAAGUCACCGGCAAUCGCCGUGCCAGCAGCCGCGGUAAUACGGAGGGGGCAAGCGUUGUUCGGAAUUA